CCUACGGGUGGCAGCAGUGAGGAAUAUUGGUCAAUGGGCGGGAGCCUGAACCAGCCAAGCCGCGUGAUGGAAGAAGGUACAGCGUAUCGUAAACCUCUUUUGUCAGGGAACAAAGGCGUGCACUAGUCCCCGUAUGAGUGUACCUGAAGAAAAAGCAUCGGCAAACUCCGUGCCAGCAGCCGCGGUAAUACGGAGGAUGCGAGCGUUAGCCGGAUUUAUUGGGUUUAAAGGGUGCGCAGACGGCGUGUUAAGUGGGCGGUAAAAGCCCGGGGCUCAACCCUGGAGAGCCGUUGAAACUGGCGGGCUUGAGUUGGAGAGAGGUACGCGGAAUGCGCGGUGUAGCGGUGAAAUGCUUAGAUAUCGCGCAGAACCCCGAUUGCGAAGGCAGCGUACCGGCUCCACACUGACGCUGAGGCACGAAAGCGUGGGUAUCGAACAGGAUUAGAUACCCGUGUAGUC
RNAcentral lists this ribosomal RNA (459 nucleotides) under uncultured bacterium. RNAcentral's name for it is "partial 16S ribosomal RNA". It matches the Rfam family "Bacterial small subunit ribosomal RNA", at positions 338 to 795 of the family's 1533-position model. The record is from RNAcentral.